UGGAGUGUUUCCCAUGUGGUAUUGGUGCGCUGGAUAUCCCUUCACUGGUAGCCUGGUAACAUACACUCCCAGGUCUUCCUCUGCCUCUGUGGUGGAUAGUGGAGUGUUUCCCAUGUGGUAUUGGUAUGCUGGAUAUCCCUUCACUGGUAGCCUGGUAACAUACACUCCCAGGUCUUCCUCUGCCUCUGUGGUGGAUAGUGGAGUGUUUCCCAUGUGGUAUUGGUGUGCUGGAUAUCCCUUCACUGGUAGCCUGGUAAUAUACACUCCCAGGUCUUCCUCUGCCUCUGUGGUGGAUAGUGGAGUGUUUCCCAUGUGGUAUUGGUGUGCUGGAUAUCCCUUCACUGGUAGCCUGGUAACAUACACUCCCAGGUCUUCCUCUGCCUCUGUGGUGGAUAGUGGAGUGUUUCCCAUGUGGUAUUGGUGUGCUGGAUUUCCCCUCUCAAGAUUCAGGACUUUACAUUUCCUUCAUUGAAUUGUAGUAGCCACUUUUUGUUCCAUUCCUGUAGCUUGGUGAGGUCUUCUUGUAGGAUAUCCACAGUCAAGGGGUUGAUACCAGGAUCCACAUUCAGUUAACAUUGGCGCCAGAUUCAGGUCCCAUUGAGUACCAGGAUCCACAUUCAGUUAAUAUUGGCACCAGAUUCAGGUCCCAUUGAGUACCAGGAUCCACAUUCAGUUAAUAUUGG
Long non-coding RNA from Eriocheir sinensis (Chinese mitten crab), 683 nucleotides. RefSeq lists it as uncharacterized. The transcript is spliced from 4 exons. Lineage: Eukaryota; Metazoa; Arthropoda; Malacostraca; Decapoda; Varunidae. The record is from RefSeq and is a predicted model, not a curated record.